RNAcentral lists this transfer RNA (85 nucleotides) under Felis catus (domestic cat). It matches the Rfam family "tRNA". From Rfam's summary of the family: Transfer RNA (tRNA) molecules are approximately 80 nucleotides in length. Their secondary structure includes four short double-helical elements and three loops (D, anti-codon, and T loops). Lineage: Eukaryota; Metazoa; Chordata; Mammalia; Carnivora; Felidae. The record is from Rfam by way of RNAcentral. RNAcentral also lists the same sequence under 1 other name.
GCCUGGGUGGCUCAGCUGGUUGAGCGUCUGACUUCUGCUCAGGUCGUGAUCUCAUGGUCCGUGAGUUCGAGCCCCACGUCGGGCU